CCUACGGGUGGCAGCAGUGGGGAAUCUUCGGCAAUGGGGGAAACCCUGACCCAGCGACGCCGCGUGAGUGAAGAAGUAUUUCGGUACGUAAAGCUCUGUUAGCAGGGAAGAACAUGAGGGUAAGUGACUAAGAAGCCCUGGCUAACUACGUGCCAGCAGCCGCGGUAAUACGUCGGGGGCAAGCGUUAUCCGGAUUUACGGGGUGUAACGGGAGCGUAGACGGAUGCGCAAGUCGGGUGUGAAAUGCCGCGGCCCAACCCCGGAGCGGCUUUGGAAACUGUGAAACUUGAGUGCAGGAGAGGAAAGCGGAAUUCCAUGUGUAGCGGUGAAAUGCGUAGAUAUCUGGAGGAACACCGGCGGCGAAGGCGGCUUUCUGGACUGUAACUGACGCUGAGGCUCGAAAGCGUGGGGAGCAAACAGGAUUAGAUACCCCAGUAGUC
Molecule: ribosomal RNA, 440 nt
Filed under: uncultured bacterium
Lineage: Bacteria
Description: partial 16S ribosomal RNA
Rfam family: Bacterial small subunit ribosomal RNA
Source: RNAcentral